RNAcentral lists this long non-coding RNA (1989 nucleotides) under Homo sapiens (human). RNAcentral describes it as "non-protein coding lnc-GNG11-3:9". Lineage: Eukaryota; Metazoa; Chordata; Mammalia; Primates; Hominidae. The record is from RNAcentral.
ACUCCCAAGGAAAGUGACGCCUGAGAGAAAGAGCCAUUUGUUUGUCUUUUUAAUUUCAGCUUCUUCCUAAAUAAGACAGCCUUUUAGAAAGACUUUCACAGUGUCAGGUUAGUUACCUAAAUCUUAGGUAACUUUAGGUUAGUUACCUAAAGUCACUCUGUGACUUCAUCCUGAUAUAAAGGAACAAGGAAGAGAGUCGGAUUAGGCUAACUCACUAUGAUGGGGUAACACAUAGAAAAGGCACGGAGAAGUUAAGUGAUUUGCCUGUGGUCACAAAGCCUGUUAGCAGCAAACCCAGAACAAGAACCUAAGAUUUAUGACCGCCAGUUCCAGCUGUUUUUCUUCGUCAUGUAUCCUCAGCAAUCAACAUAAUCAAAAUCUGUUUGGAGACUACUGAUUUGUAUAAAGGAAGAUAACACCGAACAACCAAACAGGAAGUAAUCCAGCGAAUCUGGAACAGCGGUGGAAUUUAGAAGCAAGGCCAGAUGAGGACCCUAAGACCUAGAGAAACUAAGUCAUUUGCUCAAGAAGACAAAGGGCUCUGAAGUAAUUGGUCAGUGCUCUGAAGUAAUUAAAAUCACUGUGAAGCUGAAUGAAAAAUCAGAAGAAGAAUCAAGAGACCUAUGUUUUGCUUGUUAGGAGAACUGUGUAUCCUUUAUGUCUAUUUUUGGAGUUGGUGGUAAUUUCUGGUCAAGGAAUCAAAUGUUCUUAUUCCUAACCAUAUAGUCAGAUAAGAUGGCUAAGGUGCUUUCAUAAUCACCAUUGAUUCACUGUCAGAUGGGCCCGUGCUCUGUGACAACUUUUCAAUAUUAUAGACUUUACCAAAUAAAAAGGUAUCUCCUCAUUCUGUGCACAGAAAAAGAAAAUGAUGGAUGAGUAUAUUAGCCAGAACCCUGUCGCAGAAAAAUAAGCAUGAGUGUGCCCUUUCAUGCCUCCUGAGAACUCCUGUGCUAGACAGAGCCUGUUCAAGAUGUCUUUUCUGACUUUCUGAUUCCAGUUGACAUCUAGGCAUAUAAGGCAACUUUGUGAUGGGGCCAGAGAGCACCACACAUUGUUGUGUAUGAAAUACUCUAUUCAGCAAACAAGCCGUGCAGCAACAAGACCUAGUGUGGUCAAGGAUGGUGGACUAAAAACCACUAUGAAAGCAGAGAUGUAGCCACCUCUGAGACUGGUUUUCUAAGCAGGAUGACUUGGUUCCAUCCCUACAGAAUUGGCUGCCAUAACUCAGUGUUCCCGGGACCUGCAGUGGGCAGAGCACCAGCACAACCCGUAGAAAGCAGCUCCAAGAUCAGCACCCUCUCAUAAACCUACCGAGCCAGGAGCAUCUUCCAGGCCCUCCACUCUCAGGAGUUUCAAGGAGAAAACAAAAUGCUGAGGACUGGGAAUGAGAAGCUUCAACCUUGCACAAUCUCUACAUUUUGCUUUACUCCCAAGAGGGACGAAUGAAGAAUGUUGUUAUUGAUGCUAUGACCACUUCUCUCCCAUAUUGUGCCCAGUAAACAUGGUCUUACUCAUUAUUGAAAUACUAGCAUUCUUCUAUAAUGGUUCGUACACAGCUGCUGCCCAGAGCACUGAAUAACACAUACUACCAGGUGUCAAACCCAGAUUUCCCCAGUCUCUCCUUAAUUUCCAGCAAUAAAAAGAUUAGCCUGGCACAGCAGGUCUUCAGACCCUUUCUGAUUUUGAAUAGUGAUUUGAACACCUCUCCUAGCUGUGUCCCCUUUGGGUUUAAGAAUAAGAUAGAAGAUAUAUUGCUUUCCAUUUUAAAAUGUUUAACUUCUAUUCAAGAAUAAAUAUUGAUGAAGGGCAUCUAGGUACUAGUGAUUUUUCCUGAUGUCCAUUUUGUGAACUUCACAGAAGACUUUGAUUUCACCUUAAACCAAAGAAAACGUUCACAGAUAUCUUAUAAAUCUACUAUUUUUCAUGAUUAUAAUAACCUGUCAUCAUGACAAGCCAUGUUCAUUAACAAAAGAAAUCAUAGGGGCAGCU